RNAcentral lists this ribosomal RNA (583 nucleotides) under Papiliotrema rajasthanensis. RNAcentral describes it as "LSU rRNA". It matches the Rfam family "Eukaryotic large subunit ribosomal RNA", at positions 91 to 663 of the family's 3401-position model. Lineage: Eukaryota; Fungi; Basidiomycota; Tremellomycetes; Tremellales; Rhynchogastremaceae. The record is from RNAcentral.
GAGUGAACCGGGAAGAGCUCAAAUUUGAAAUCUGGCGUCCUCAGGGCGUCCGAGUUGUAAUCUAUAGAGGCGUUUUCCGUGCCGGACCGUGUCCAAGUUCCUUGGAACAGGAUAUCAAAGAGGGUGACAAUCCCGUACUUGACACGAUGACCGGUGCUCUGUGAUACGUCUUCUACGAGUCGAGUUGUUUGGGAAUGCAGCUCAAAAUGGGUGGUGAGUUCCAUCUAAAGCUAAAUAUUGGCGAGAGACCGAUAGCGAACAAGUACCGUGAGGGAAAGAUGAAAAGCACUUUGGAAAGAGAGUUAAACAGUACGUGAAAUUGUUGAAAGGGAAACGAUUGAAGUCAGUCGUGACUGAGAGGCUCAGCCGGUUCUGCCGGUGUAUUCCCCUCAGUCGGGUCAACAUCAGUUUUGUCCGGUGGAAAAGGGCGGUAGGAACGUGGCACCUCCGGGUGUGUUAUAGCCUGCCGUCGCAUACAUCGGGUGAGACUGAGGAAUGCAGCUCGCCUUUAUGGCCGGGGUUCGCCCACGUCCGAGCUUAGGAUGUUGACAUAAUGGCUUUAAACGACCCGUCUUGAACCACG